UCUGGCUCAGGACGAACGCUGGCGGCGUGCUUAACACAUGCAAGUCGAACGGAAAGGCCCCUUCGGGGGUACUCGAGUGGCGAACGGGUGAGUAACACGUGGGCAAUCUGCCCUGCACUUCGGGAUAAGCCUGGGAAACUGGGUCUAAUACCGGAUAGGACCUUUAGGCGCAUGUCUUUAGGUGGAAAGCUUUUGCGGGUGGGAUGGGC
Molecule: ribosomal RNA, 209 nt
Filed under: Mycobacterium intracellulare
Lineage: Bacteria; Bacillati; Actinomycetota; Actinomycetes; Mycobacteriales; Mycobacteriaceae
Description: partial 16S ribosomal RNA
Rfam family: Bacterial small subunit ribosomal RNA
Source: RNAcentral